UUGGUAAGCUAUUGAUUAUUGCCACAA
Molecule: non-coding RNA, 27 nt
Filed under: Homo sapiens (human)
Lineage: Eukaryota; Metazoa; Chordata; Mammalia; Primates; Hominidae
Source: RNAcentral